RNAcentral lists this ribosomal RNA (465 nucleotides) under uncultured bacterium. RNAcentral's name for it is "bacterial SSU rRNA". It matches the Rfam family "Bacterial small subunit ribosomal RNA", at positions 28 to 507 of the family's 1533-position model. The record is from RNAcentral.
GACGAACGCUGGCGGCGUGCUUAAAACAUGCAAGUCGAAUGGACUUCUCAUGAAGCUUGCGAUUGAGAAGUUAGUGGCGGACGGGUGAGUAACGCGUGGGCAACCUGCCCCUGAGCCCGGGAUAACAGUUCGAAAGGACUGCUAAGACCGGAUAUACUUGCGGUGAAGCAUUUCACUGCAAGGAAAGGGAACGCUCAGGGAUGGGCCCGCGUCCCAUUAGCUAGUUGGUGAGGUAACGGCCCACCAAGGCGACGAUGGGUAGCCGGCCUGAGAGGGUGAACGGCCACACUGGGACUGAGACACGGCCCAGACUCCUACGGGAGGCAGCAGUUGGGAAUCUUCGGCAAUGGGCGCAAGCCUGACCGAGCAACGCCGCGUGAGUGAUGAAGGUUUUCGGAUUGUAAAGCUCUGUCUUCCGGGACGAUAAUGACGGUACCGGAGGAGGAAGCCACGGCUAACUACGUG